AUUGAACGCUGGCGGCAGGCCUAACACAUGCAAGUCGAACGAGUGGCGGACGGGUGAGUAAUGUCUGGGAAACUGCCUGAUGGAGGGGGCUAACUACUGGAAACGGUAGCUAAUAACGCAUACCAUAAGAUGGGGCCAGAUGGGAUUAUCGUGUUGGUGGGGUAACGGCUCACAAAGGCGACGAACCCUAGCUGGUCUGCGAGGAUGACCAGCCACACGGGAACUUAGACACGGUCCAGACUCCUACGGGAGGCAGCAGUGGGGAAUAUUGCACAAUGGGCGCAAGCCUGAUGCAGCCAUGCCGCGUGUAUGAAGAAGGCUUUCGGGUUGUAAAGUACGUUCAGCGGGGAGGCGUUACCCGCAGAAGAAGCACCGGCUAACUCCGUGCCAGCAGCCGCGGUAAUAC
This 406-nucleotide ribosomal RNA is filed under the name uncultured bacterium. RNAcentral's name for it is "partial 16S ribosomal RNA". It matches the Rfam family "Bacterial small subunit ribosomal RNA", at positions 30 to 526 of the family's 1533-position model. The record is from RNAcentral.